This 245-nucleotide ribosomal RNA is filed under the name uncultured bacterium. RNAcentral's name for it is "partial 16S ribosomal RNA". It matches the Rfam family "Bacterial small subunit ribosomal RNA", at positions 1258 to 1500 of the family's 1533-position model. The record is from RNAcentral.
UGAGGCGGAGCUAAUCCCUUAAAGCCAUUCUCAGUUCGGAUUGUAGGCUGAAACUCGCCUACAUGAAGCUGGAGUUACUAGUAAUCGCAGAUCAGAAUGCUGCGGUGAAUGCGUUCCCGGGUCUUGUACACACCGCCCGUCACACCACGGAAGUUGGGGGCGCCCGAAGCCACUUAGCUAACCCUUUUGGGAAGCGAGUGUCGAAGGUGAAAUCAAUAACUGGGGUGAAGUCGUAACAAGGUACC